Labeo rohita (rohu) is the source of this 517-nucleotide long non-coding RNA. RefSeq lists it as uncharacterized. The transcript has 3 exons. Lineage: Eukaryota; Metazoa; Chordata; Actinopteri; Cypriniformes; Cyprinidae. The record is from RefSeq and is a predicted model, not a curated record.
UUUAACUACAAAUACCACAGUAAAGUACAGUCACUGUAGUAAAAACAUAGUAAGAAUCAAGGUUAUUGUGCUUUUACUACAAAUACCACAGUAAAACUAUGGCUACUGAGGUAAACCCAUAGUAAGCAUUGAGGUUACUGUGCUUUAACUACAAAUACCACAGUAAAGUACAGUCACUGUAGUAAAAACAUAGUAAGAAUCAAGGUUAUUGUGCUUUUACUACAAAUACCACAGUAAAAGUACAGUUACUGAAGUAAACCCAUAGUAAGCAUUGAGGUUACUGUGCUUUAACUACAAAUACCACAGUAAAGUACAGUCACUGUAGUAAAAACAUAGUAAGAAUCAAGGUUGUUGUGCUUUUACUACAAAUACCACAGUAAAACUACAGUUACUGAGGUAAACCCAUAGUAAGCAUUGAGGUUACUGUGCUUUAACUACAAAUACCACAGUAAAGUACAGUCACUGUAGUAAAAACAUAGUAAGAAUCAAGGUUGUUGUGCUUUUACUACAAAUACCA